GAUGAACGCUGGCGGCGUGCCUAAUACAUGCAAGUCGAGCGAACAGAUGAGGAGCUUGCUCCUCUGACGUUAGCGGCGGAAGGGUGAGUAACACGUGGAUAACCUACCUAUAAGACUGGGAUAACUUCGGGAAACCGGAGCUAAUACCGGAUAAUAUAUUGAACCGCAUGGUUCAAUAGUGAAAGACGGUUUUGCUGUCACUUAUAGAUGGAUCCGCGCCGCAUUAGCUAGUUGGUAAGGUAACGGCUUACCAAGGCGACGAUGCGUAGCCGACCUGAGAGGGUGAUCGGCCACACUGGAACUGAGACACGGUCCAGACUCCUACGGGAGGCAGCAGUAGGGAAUCUUCCGCAAUGGGCGAAAGCCUGACGGAGCAACGCCGCGUGAGUGAUGAAGGUCUUCGGAUCGUAAAACUCUGUUAUUAGGGAAGAACAAAUGUGUAAGUAACUAUGCACGUCUUGACGGUACCUAAUCAGAAAGCCACGGCUAACUACGUG
This 497-nucleotide ribosomal RNA is filed under the name uncultured bacterium. RNAcentral describes it as "partial 16S ribosomal RNA". It matches the Rfam family "Bacterial small subunit ribosomal RNA", at positions 28 to 507 of the family's 1533-position model. The record is from RNAcentral.